UACGUAGGGUGCAAGCGUUGUCCGGAAUUAUUGGGCGUAAAGAGCUCGUAGGCGGUUUGUCGCGUCUGCUGUGAAAGACCGGGGCUCAACUCCGGUUCUGCAGUGGGUACGGGCAGACUAGAGUGAUGUAGGGGAGACUGGAAUUCCUGGUGUAGCGGUGAAAUGCGCAGAUAUCAGGAGGAACACCGGUGGCGAAGGCGGUUCUCUGGGCCUUACCUGACGCUGAGGAGCGAAAGCGUGGGGAGCAAACAGG
Molecule: ribosomal RNA, 253 nt
Filed under: uncultured bacterium
Lineage: Bacteria
Description: partial 16S ribosomal RNA
Rfam family: Bacterial small subunit ribosomal RNA
Source: RNAcentral